CAGCCGCCGCGGUAAUACGUAGGGGGCAAGCGUUAUCCGGAAUUACUGGGUGUAAAGGGAGCGUAGACGGUUAAACAAGUCUGAAGUGAAAUGCCGGGGCUCAACCCCGGAGCUGCUUUGGGAACUGUAGAACUGGAGUGUCGGAGGGGUAAGCGGAAUUCCCAGUGUAGCGGUGAAAUGCGUAGAUAUUGGGGGGAACACCGGCGGCGAAGGCGGCUUACUGGACGACAACUGACGUUGAGGCUCGAUGGCGUGGGUAGCAAACAGGAUUAGAUACCCCCGUAGUCCCUGUCUCUUAUAC
This 301-nucleotide ribosomal RNA is filed under the name uncultured bacterium. RNAcentral describes it as "partial 16S ribosomal RNA". It matches the Rfam family "Bacterial small subunit ribosomal RNA", at positions 509 to 807 of the family's 1533-position model. The record is from RNAcentral.